CCACAUGUUUCCUCGUGCCAAUUGCCAUCAUCACUCACCCUCUGCCUCCGUCCUUUUUCUUCCUGUCUACUGCGUAGAUCCAUGGAGUGAUUCAUACGAAGCACAGGCAUGGCGCACAAGUGUAAUUUUAUGACACAACUAGUUCUCUUUCUAUGUUUCACGUAUGUCUUCUCGUCAAUUGCUAUUGCUCCUACGACAAGAAUCGAUCAUAUAGGAAGCCAGAAGAUAAAUAAGGAAGACCUACUGAGUCAGAAUUUGCUGGAUGAAGGUGUCCUGGAUUUGGGAGAAGGAUUUGUGGAGGGGCGGAUGGAGCUGGAAACCAAUGAUUAUUCAGGGGUAGGAGCAAAUCCGGAUCAUGAUCCAAAACCCCCAUGAAGAACUUGAGCCUUAUGGUGGAUUUUGGUUUCGAACUUUAGAGCUGGUUGGAGUUUUCUUAGUUUUCUGCGGAUGUAUCAUGUAUGUCUUCCGUGUCCAUAUGUGUAAUAAUUUCAUGUAUAAUUAUUUUUUUGGGUGAUAAAAACAACGUACUUGUUGAAUAAAAUCUUUCUGGAUUUUGGUUGUUGUAAUCUAGUAUGUUUUAAAUUUUCA
Non-coding RNA from Malus domestica (apple), 588 nucleotides. NCBI's taxonomy places the organism in Eukaryota, Viridiplantae, Streptophyta, Magnoliopsida, Rosales, Rosaceae. The record is from RefSeq and is a predicted model, not a curated record.